UAUAAAUAAGGGAUGAUAAGAAAGGGGGAGAAGCAUGGUGAGGAAGAGAGGAGAAAAAGAAGAGAAGAAGAGGGAAGCUCUCAAGGGUAACCCUUGGGCUUUAGGUAAACAUAUCUCUCUCAUUUUAAUUCGCUUUUCCAUGAAACAUUGAGGGUAGUUUUUUAGUAAUGUGACAGAUAUUUUUGAGGUUAGAUAUUAGUAAAAAAAAUCUAAAAACUCUGUUAAAAUUUCGGGUGAAAAAUGUCAAAAAC
This 251-nucleotide long non-coding RNA is filed under the name Carica papaya (papaya). RNAcentral's name for it is "long non-coding RNA (CPAP_LNC005332)". Lineage: Eukaryota; Viridiplantae; Streptophyta; Magnoliopsida; Brassicales; Caricaceae. The record is from RNAcentral.